GGGUCAGUAGGUUGGUCGUGCCACCGGUACGUACUGGUCUCACUGAUUCCUCCUUCCUGAAGAACCGUAAUGCCAUUAAUUUGGUGUUGCGGGGAAACAGGACUGUUACUUUGAAAAAAUUAGAGUGUUUAAAGCAAGCUAACGCUUGAAUACAUUAGCAUGGAACAAUGAAAUAAGACAAUCGAUCCUAUUUUGUUGGUUUCUAGGAUUGACGUA
Molecule: ribosomal RNA, 216 nt
Filed under: Glomeromycotina sp.
Lineage: Eukaryota; Fungi; Glomeromycota
Description: partial small subunit ribosomal RNA
Rfam family: Eukaryotic small subunit ribosomal RNA (bases 40-216)
Source: RNAcentral